This 1134-nucleotide ribosomal RNA is filed under the name Escherichia coli. RNAcentral describes it as "partial 23S ribosomal RNA". It matches the Rfam family "Bacterial large subunit ribosomal RNA", at positions 614 to 1751 of the family's 2925-position model. The record is from RNAcentral. Lineage: Bacteria; Pseudomonadati; Pseudomonadota; Gammaproteobacteria; Enterobacterales; Enterobacteriaceae.
AAUGGGUCAGCGACUUAUAUUCUGUAGCAAGGUUAACCGAAUAGGGGAGCCGAAGGGAAACCGAGUCUUAACUGGGCGUUAAGUUGCAGGGUAUAGACCCGAAACCCGGUGAUCUAGCCAUGGGCAGGUUGAAGGUUGGGUAACACUAACUGGAGGACCGAACCGACUAAUGUUGAAAAAUUAGCGGAUGACUUGUGGCUGGGGGUGAAAGGCCAAUCAAACCGGGAGAUAGCUGGUUCUCCCCGAAAGCUAUUUAGGUAGCGCCUCGUGAAUUCAUCUCCGGGGGUAGAGCACUGUUUCGGCAAGGGGGUCAUCCCGACUUACCAACCCGAUGCAAACUGCGAAUACCGGAGAAUGUUAUCACGGGAGACACACGGCGGGUGCUAACGUCCGUCGUGAAGAGGGAAACAACCCAGACCGCCAGCUAAGGUCCCAAAGUCAUGGUUAAGUGGGAAACGAUGUGGGAAGGCCCAGACAGCCAGGAUGUUGGCUUAGAAGCAGCCAUCAUUUAAAGAAAGCGUAAUAGCUCACUGGUCGAGUCGGCCUGCGCGGAAGAUGUAACGGGGCUAAACCAUGCACCGAAGCUGCGGCAGCGACACUAUGUGUUGUUGGGUAGGGGAGCGUUCUGUAAGCCUGUGAAGGUGUACUGUGAGGUAUGCUGGAGGUAUCAGAAGUGCGAAUGCUGACAUAAGUAACGAUAAAGCGGGUGAAAAGCCCGCUCGCCGGAAGACCAAGGGUUCCUGUCCAACGUUAAUCGGGGCAGGGUGAGUCGACCCCUAAGGCGAGGCCGAAAGGCGUAGUCGAUGGGAAACAGGUUAAUAUUCCUGUACUUGGUGUUACUGCGAAGGGGGGACGGAGAAGGCUAUGUUGGCCGGGCGACGGUUGUCCCGGUUUAAGCGUGUAGGCUGGUUUUCCAGGCAAAUCCGGAAAAUCAAGGCUGAGGCGUGAUGACGAGGCACUACGGUGCUGAAGCAACAAAUGCCCUGCUUCCAGGAAAAGCCUCUAAGCAUCAGGUAACAUCAAAUCGUACCCCAAACCGACACAGGUGGUCAGGUAGAGAAUACCAAGGCGCUUGAGAGAACUCGGGUGAAGGAACUAGGCAAAAUGGUGCCGUAACUUCGGGAGAAGGCACGC